AGCGAACGCUGGCGGCAGGCCUAACACAUGCAAGUCGAACGAACUCUUCGGAGUUAGUGGCGGACGGGUGAGUAACACGUGGGAACGUGCCUGUUGGUUCGGAAUAACUCAGGGAAACUUGUGCUAAUACCGAAUGUGUCCUUCGGGGGAAAGAUUUAUCGCCAUUAGAGCGGCCCGCGUCUGAUUAGCUAGUUGGUGAGGUAACGGCUCACCAAGGCGACGAUCAGUAGCUGGUCUGAGAGGAUGACCAGCCACACUGGGACUGAGCCACGGCCCAGACUCCUACGGGCGGCAGCAGUGGGGGCUCUAGCGCAAUGGGCGAAAGCCUGACGCAGCCAUGCCGCGUGAAUGAUGAAGGUCUUAGGAUUGUAUAAUUCUUUCACCGGGGACGAUAAUGACGGUACCCGGAGAAGAAGCCCCGGCUAACUUCGUG
RNAcentral lists this ribosomal RNA (433 nucleotides) under uncultured bacterium. Its description in RNAcentral is "partial 16S ribosomal RNA". It matches the Rfam family "Bacterial small subunit ribosomal RNA", at positions 29 to 507 of the family's 1533-position model. The record is from RNAcentral.